CAGAGGUUACUGCURKCKRGAUUCGACUAAGCCAUGCGAGUUGAAUGUUCUUCGUGAACAUGGCGGACUGCUCAGUAACACGUGGACAACCUACCCUUGGGUCCGGCAUAAUCCUGGGAAACUGGGAAUAAUUCCGGAUAGGUCACCGAUGCUGGAAUGCGCGGUGGCCGAAAGCUCCGGCGCCCGAGGAUGGGUCUGCGGCCUAUCAGGGUUGUAGUGGGUGUAACGUACCUACUAGCCUACGACGGGUACGGGUUGUGAGAGCAAGAGCCCGGAGAUGGAUUCUGAGACACGAAUCCAGGCCCUACGGGGUGCAGCAGGCGCGAAAACUUUACAAUGCGGGAAACCGUGAUAAGGGGAUCUCGAGUGCCAGCAUAUAAUGUUGGCUGUCCAGAUGCCUAAAAAGCAUCUGUUAGCAAGGGCCGGGCAAGACCGGUGCCAGCCGCCGCGGUAACACCGGCGGCCCGAGUGGUAACCGCUAUUAUUGGGUCUAAAGGGUCUGUAGCCGGCCAGGUAAGUCCCUUGGGAAAUCUGGCAGCUCAACUGUCAGGCUGCUAGGGGAUACUGUUUGGCUUGGGACCGGGAGAGGUGAGAGGUACCUUGGGGGUAGGGGUGAAAUCUUGUGAUCCUCGAGGGACCACCAGUGGCGAAGGCGUCUCACCAGAACGGGUCCGACGGUAAGGGACGAAAGCUAGGGGCACGAACCGGAUUAGAUACCCGGGUAGUCCUAGCCGUAAACGAUGCUCGCUAGGUGUCAGUCACGGUGCGACCGUGAUUGGUGCCGUAGGGAAGCCGUGAAGCGAGCCACCUGGGAAGUAUGGCCGCAAGGCUGAAACUUAAAGGAAUUGGCGGGGGAGCACUACAWCGGGUGGAGCCUGCGGUUUAUUG
RNAcentral lists this ribosomal RNA (888 nucleotides) under uncultured Methanosaeta sp. RNAcentral's name for it is "bacterial SSU rRNA". It matches the Rfam family "Archaeal small subunit ribosomal RNA", at positions 18 to 907 of the family's 1478-position model. The record is from RNAcentral. Lineage: Archaea; Methanobacteriati; Methanobacteriota; Methanomicrobia; Methanotrichales; Methanotrichaceae.